GAUGAAGAACGCAGCGAAAUGCGAUAAGUAAUGUGAAUUGCAGAAUUCAGUGAAUCAUCGAAUCUUUGAACGCACAUUGCGCCCGCCAGUAUUCUGGCGGGCAUGCCUGUUCGAGCGUCAUUACAACCCUCAGGCCCCCGGGCCUGGCGUUGGGGAUCGGCGGAAGCCCCCUGUGGGCACACGCCGUCCCUCAAAUACAGUGGCGGUCCCGCCGCAGCUUCCAUUGCGUAGUAGCUAACACCUCGCAACUGGAGAGCGGCGCGGCCAUGCCGUAAAACACCCAACUUCUGAAUGUUGACCUCGAAUCAGGUAGGAAUACCCGCUGAACUUAAGCAUAUCAAUAAGCGGAGGC
RNAcentral lists this unclassified non-coding RNA (352 nucleotides) under soil metagenome. RNAcentral's name for it is "partial contains 5.8S ribosomal RNA, internal transcribed spacer 2, and large subunit ribosomal RNA". The stretch from base 1 to 120 matches the Rfam family "5.8S ribosomal RNA", at positions 35 to 154 of the family's 154-position model. The record is from RNAcentral.